RNAcentral lists this ribosomal RNA (496 nucleotides) under uncultured bacterium. RNAcentral's name for it is "partial 16S ribosomal RNA". It matches the Rfam family "Bacterial small subunit ribosomal RNA", at positions 28 to 506 of the family's 1533-position model. The record is from RNAcentral.
GAUGAACGCUGGCGGCGUGCCUAAUACAUGCAAGUCGAGCGAACAGACGAGGAGCUUGCUCCUCUGACGUUAGCGGCGGACGGGUGAGUAACACGUGGAUAACCUACCUAUAAGACUGGGAUAAUUUCGGGAAACCGGAGCUAAUACCGGAUAAUAUAUUUAACCGCAUGGUUCAAUAGUGAAAGACGGUUUUGCUGUCACUUAUAGAUGGAUCCGCGCCGCAUUAGCUAGUUGGGAAGGUAACUGCUUACCAAGGCAACGAUGCGUAGCCGACCUGAGAGGGUGAUCGGCCACACGGGAACUGAGACGCCGUCCAGACGCCGACGGGAGGCAGCAGUAGGGAAUCUGCCGCAAUGGGCGAAAGCCUGACGGAGCAACGCCGCGUGAGUGAUGAAGGACUUCGGAUCGUAAAACUCUGUUAUUAGGGAAGAACAAAUGUGUAAGUAACAAUGCACGUCUGGACGGUACCUAAUCAGAAAGCCACGGCUAACUACGG